Molecule: non-coding RNA, 45 nt
Filed under: Schistosoma curassoni
Lineage: Eukaryota; Metazoa; Platyhelminthes; Trematoda; Strigeidida; Schistosomatidae
Source: RNAcentral
AUCCAAACGACGAGUCACAAAUGGGACGAAACGCGCAUCCUGGAU